ACGGGUGAGUAACACGUAGGUAACCUACCCUUCAGUGGGGGACAACAGAGGGAAACUUCUGCUAAUACCGCAUACGAUCACGGACUGGGAUGUUCGUGGUGAAAGGAUUUAUUCGCCGAGGGAUGGGCCUGCGGCCUAUCAGGUAGUUGGUGGGGUAAUGGCCUACCAAGCCUGCGACGGGUAGCCGGACUGAGAGGUCGAUCGGCCACACUGGAACUGAGACACGGUCCAGACUCCUACGGGAGGCAGCAGUGGGGAAUAUUGCACAAUGGGGGAAACCCUGAUGCAGCGACGCCGCGUGGAGGAUGACGGCCUUCGGGUUGUAAACUCCUUUUGUCGGGGACAAUGGUGAUGGUACCCGACGAAUAAGCCACGGCUAACUCUGUGCCAGCAGCCGCGGUAAGACAGAGGUGGCGAGCGUUGUUCGGAAUUACUGGGCUUAAAGGGCGCGUAGGCGGUGGUGUAAGUCUAGGGUGGAAUGCUACAGCUCAACUGUAGAGCUGCCUUGGAAACUGCAUUACUUGAGUCGGUGAGGGGAAGGUGGAAUUCCAGGU
Molecule: ribosomal RNA, 554 nt
Filed under: uncultured bacterium
Lineage: Bacteria
Description: bacterial SSU rRNA
Rfam family: Bacterial small subunit ribosomal RNA
Source: RNAcentral